UGAUCAGCCAUGCCGCGUGUGUGAAGAAGCCUUCUUGGUUGUAAAGCACUUUAAGCAGUGAAGAAGACUCUUCGGUUAAUACCCGGGGACGAUGACAUUAGCUGCAGAAUAAGCACCGGCUAACUCUGUGCCAGCAGCCGCGGUAAU
Molecule: ribosomal RNA, 147 nt
Filed under: uncultured bacterium
Lineage: Bacteria
Description: partial 16S ribosomal RNA
Rfam family: Bacterial small subunit ribosomal RNA
Source: RNAcentral